UAACACAUGCAAGUCGAGCGCGAAAACACUUCGGUGUGAGUAGAGCGGCGGACGGGUGAGUAACGCGUAUGAAUCUACCUAGUAGUGGGGGACAACUCGAGGAAACUCGAGCUAAUACCGCAUACGCCCUACGGGGGAAAGCGGGGGACCUUCGGGCCUCGCGCUAUUAGAUGAGCUUGCGUUGGAUUAGCUUGUUGGUGAGGUAAUGGCUCACCAAGGCUACGAUCCAUAGCUGGUCUGAGAGGAUGAUCAGCCACACCGGGACUGAGACACGGCCCGGACUCCUACGGGAGGCAGCAGUGGGGAAUAUUGCGCAAUGGGCGGAAGCCUGACGCACCCAUGCCGCGUGUGUGAAGAAGGCCUUAGGGUUGUAAAGCACUUUCAAUUGGGAGGAAAAGUUAACCACUAAUACUCGUUAGCCUUGACGUUACCUUUAGAAGAAGCACCGGCUAACUCCGUGCCAGCAGCCGCGGUAAUACGGAGGGUGCAAGCGUUAAUCGGAAUUACUGGGCGUAAAGCGCGCGUAGC
Molecule: ribosomal RNA, 528 nt
Filed under: uncultured Gammaproteobacteria bacterium
Lineage: Bacteria; Pseudomonadati; Pseudomonadota; Gammaproteobacteria
Description: bacterial SSU rRNA
Rfam family: Bacterial small subunit ribosomal RNA
Source: RNAcentral